AGUCUCUGGAGCUAUUUGUCAAGCUGUCCACAUUUUCCCUCUCUUGUGCAGUGCCUUCAACCUCCACCUUUGCCCCUGUGAGUCUGUACCAUGGCAACAUGGUACUUUACACAGUCUGCUUUAGAACUGUGCUUCUCCUGGCUCUACUUGCAUCCUCUAUUGCUGGACAUUGGGAGACCCUUCAUUGAGGUCUCAAGCCCUAAGAUCUCCUGGAUUUUGCUGAGAAAAAGGAAGUUCUUCUGCAUCAAGUAACUGAAGAAUCAAUCAAAGAUUAUCUCCUGGAAGAGAUGGAUUAAAAAAAAUACAAGAUUGAUGAUAUGGAAAACAGGAAAAGCUUCGGUGACAGCUACAGGACAGUGAUUUGGAAUCACCGAACUCUCCUUGGGAAUAUGCUGUCUACUCAUCUUGAUGCAGUAGAAAGAAGGUGUUGCUGUUGUCAGAUAUGUGCCUUUGGGUAUAUUUGCUUCCCACACCUUGAAUAUAUAUAUAUAUAUAUAUAUAUAUAUAUAUAUAUUACAUUUACAUAAAUCACUACAGCUCUAUACUUUUUAUUAAGAUCCCCUAUGAUAUCCACAUAUUGAUAGUAUAUAAUUUGACUGUUCCUGACAUGUGUAUCCAUGUAUCCAUUACCACUAUAUAAUAAAUAUACUCAUCACUUUCUUUUUUAUGUCCUUUCAUAAUUUUCCAAUGCACCCCAUUUUUGUCUUCUCAGUUUAGCAGUGAGCUGAUUUCUGACUCAGUAAGGUUGUCUGCAAUUUCAAUAGUGGUUAUAAAUGGAAUUUCUCUUUUACUCAUUUUCUCUGACACCUUUCUACUUUGUAGUUAUGAGACUCUUCCUGUUUAAGAUAUGUCUAGAUUUUAAUCCCUCACUGAAUAGUAUUGUACAGCUAUUCCUUUUAUAUUAAUGUGACUAAAAUACUGUGACCAACAAUAUAUGUUAGGAAUACUUUAUUUUAGCUCAUGGUUUCAGAGAGUCUCAGUCUAUCAUGAUGAACAAAGCAGGUUUUAUUGUGGUGUGGACAUGAAGUGAGAACCACUUGAAUAGCAGCAUACUAAGAACAGAUAGCAGCUACAAUGUGUUUCUGGGCUCUAACAUUACAGUCUUACCUCCAUCAUGAACGUGUAACAGCUGUAUCUACCUGCAUAAUACUUGCACAAACCUAUUUGAAAGAUAGAAGCAUAUUAGCUGGGAAAAGAAAGAGGUGCAAUGUAGGUAAACAUGAUCACAAUUCAUAUGAAACCCAGUUGCUGGUGGCCUCCUUUGACCAGGUGAGCCCCACCUUGCAAAAUCUUCCAUAGCCUACUACAACAUGAACCUAUGAGGGUUUUCAUAGUCAAAACAAAAUGAUGAUACUGUAUGAACAUACUAAAAUUUAUUUAUCAUUUAAUUAUUAAUAAUAUCUUGAUCUCCAAUUUGACAUCCCGAUAGGUAUAAUUGAUGUAACUGUUCUGGUAAAAACCUUUUAUUUUUUUUAAACAUUUAUUUAUUUGUUUGUUUGUUUGUUUGUUUGUUUAGAAAUCUUCACUUAACAUCCUGAUCACAGUCACCCUCCCUCCCCUCUUUCAAGUCAUUUCCUUACAAAUCCUCAUUAUCCCCCAUCUCUUCCAAGAAAGGGAGUCCCCUUUGGGUACCACCCCACGCUGAGACAUCUAGAUACAGCAGGAUUAUUCUCUCCCAGUGAGGAUCAACCAGGCAUGGAAAUAUGCCACUUAGAAACUGGAUGUUUAAAUCAUAUAUUAAUUCAUUGUUUACCUUUUAAAAGUUAAAUGGAAGGUUUUAGCAUUUCAUCUCUAUACUAUCAUGUGUGAUAGAGUCAGGUCCUCCACAUCUAUGGAAAUCUUGGAUAAGGUGCUUUAAAGUUUUGGGUUUUGUUUUUUUUUUAUUUUUUCCACGUAAGUAUAUCAAUGUCUUCAAUUUCUAAUUGCAUCUUCCUAAUGAUUAGUGAUCUUUCUUGUGAUUUCUUUUAUCUCCAUGCUAUCUUUGGUAAUCACACAAAUCUCCCCUCUUUCCCUCCACCUCUCUCUAGCCUCCCCCCCCCCGACAUACACUCACACAUACACACACUCUACUCUUUGCCUUACUUGUGGCUAAAGUUUGAGGUUGCCUGCAACUCUCUGGGAUUACAUAGACUGCUAUAGGUGACUCGUUGUCAUCAUCUAAUAGUAUAUGUUAGGAGUAAAAUAUUUUUAUCUACACUAUAUACAAAUGACCUUCUUCCUUUGAAGAUUCCUUUUUACUGUGUAAGUUUGUGCCUAUGUGUAGUUAUGUACAUGUAAACCUGGGUGCCUGUACAUCAGAAGUGUUUGAGCACCUGGUGCUUGGAACCAAACUUCGGUCAUCUACAUGGGAAGCAAGUAUUCUUAGUCACUGAGCCACAUUUCUAGUCCUGAAAAAACUUAUUCUCAGUGAAUAAGCAUUAAAGCUGAGAAACAUUGUGCGAAACUGAAUAUACACUAUUUUUCUUCUAGAAAAAAAAAAGAAAUUUUAGGUAUAAUAUUUGGAUCAUUGUAUACCACAAAUGUUACUUUUUAUAGUAGCCUAUUUUCAUUCUUGAAAGUAUGACAUAUCUGUUGAGCUUAUUAGGUUGGAAGACAAGAUUGUUUGGCAUUGCUACUCCUUUGGAAUUUAUCACCUGUCCACCUGUGUACCUGUGCUUCUAUACCAGGACUGGCCAUCUUGUUCCAUUGAUCUACCUUCUUUUUUUUCCAAAGAAGGGAAGUCAUAUGCAGUCUUAAUGAAGGAUUAUAUCUAUAAAUCACAACAAUUAUCAGGAUGCCUUGGUAACCUGGGACUAUAGCUCAUAGGAAAAACACUUGCAUAACAGGUAUAGGUCACUGGAACACUACAGUCAAUUGGACCUAGUCAACCACAGCAAUACUUGUCUUCACACAUAAAAUGAUGACACUGGAUGUAAUACAAAAUUAGAGUGUUUGUGACUAGCUAUUUUAUUUCCCUUUAAUUCUGUUUUUCAAUAUACUUAUGGAAAUAUGUAUAAGAAUGUUUUCUUUGGUUCAGUACUAUCCCACUAAAUUGGAAGAACUUUUUUUUUCUUUUUAGUGGUUAAUGGAAAUUGUAUUUACUUUUUUUUCUUUUUGUUUUUUUUUGAGACAGGGUUGCUCUGUGUAGCACUGGCUGUUCUGGAACUCACUCUAUAGACCAAGCUGGCCUCGAACUCAGAAAUCUGCCUGCCUCUGCCUUCCAAGUGCUGGGAUUAAAGGUUUGCACCACAACUGCCCAGCUUACUUUUUCAUAUUUUAAACACUGUUUCUAGAAACACUAAUAUAAAAUCUGAGUGGAAAUGCGUUUUAUUUUUCAUAGAUGAAAAUAGUUGAAUCAUAUGUUUACUGUGUUCAUUGAUUGUAUAACAUACAUAUCUAUUUUUCAGUGUAUCUAUAUUUUUACACUCUCAUGGACAGCAUACAAGCCUUCCAAUUACACUACAAUAUCACCAACUUAUGAAAAUGUCCUUCAUUUAGGUUUAUAUUGUAUUGCAUUGCAUUGCAUCACAUCAUAUCACAUUGUAUUGAAUUGUAUUAAUUAUAUUAGUGAUAAUAGCUGGCUACAAUAAUGCUUAUUAUACUUUUGAACUUCAUUUUCCUAAUGAAAACAACAUUAAACAUUUUUAACAAUU
Molecule: long non-coding RNA, 3632 nt
Filed under: Mus musculus (house mouse)
Lineage: Eukaryota; Metazoa; Chordata; Mammalia; Rodentia; Muridae
Description: predicted gene, 32061 (Gm32061)
Source: RNAcentral